AGUACUCCUACGGGAGGCAGCAGUGGGGAAUAUUGCACAAUGGGCGAAAGCCUGAUGCAGCGACGCCGCGUGAGGGAUGACGGCCUUCGGGUUGUAAACCUCUUUCAGUAGGGAAGAAGCCCUCUUUGGGGGUGACGGUACUUGCAGAAGAAGCGCCGGCUAACUACGUGCCAGCAGCCGCGGUAAUACGUAGGGCGCAAGCGUUAUCCGGAAUUAUUGGGCGUAAAGAGCUCGUAGGCGGUUUGUCGCGUCUGCUGUGAAAGACCGGGGCUCAACUCCGGUUCUGCAGUGGGUACGGGCAGACUAGAGUGCAGUAGGGGAGACUGGAAUUCCUGGUGUAGCGGUGAAAUGCGCAGAUAUCAGGAGGAACACCGAUGGCGAAGGCAGGUCUCUGGGCUGUAACUGACGCUGAGGAGCGAAAGCAUGGGGAGCGAACAGGAUUAGAUACCCUGGUAGUCCAUGCCGUAAACGUUGGGCACUAGGUGUGGGGGACAUUCCACGUUUUCCGCGCCGUAGCUAACGCAUUAAGUGCCCCGCCUGGGGAGUACGGCCGCAAGGCUAAAACUCAAAGGAAUUGACGGGGGCCCGCACAAGCGGCGGAGCAUGCGGAUUAGUUCGAUGCAACGCGAAGAACCUUACCAAGGCUUGACAUGGACCGGAAAGACCUGAAACCAGGU
This 677-nucleotide ribosomal RNA is filed under the name Arthrobacter sp. Its description in RNAcentral is "bacterial SSU rRNA". It matches the Rfam family "Bacterial small subunit ribosomal RNA", at positions 332 to 1011 of the family's 1533-position model. The record is from RNAcentral. Lineage: Bacteria; Bacillati; Actinomycetota; Actinomycetes; Micrococcales; Micrococcaceae.